Molecule: long non-coding RNA, 297 nt
Filed under: Coturnix japonica (Japanese quail)
Lineage: Eukaryota; Metazoa; Chordata; Aves; Galliformes; Phasianidae
Description: lncRNA (ENSCJPG00005014689.1)
Source: RNAcentral
AUGGACAAGGAGGCUACAGCAAGACCGAGUAGAAACGUCCAGGUUCAGACAAUGAGGAAUUCAUCCACCAGGCUCUGUCAGAUUGUGACUGUGCAGUUGGUUUCUUCUGGAAGAGCCCCCAGUGAUGUGGCAGUGUUCAGAUGGAUCAGAUUUCCCCCUGCUCAAGGUUGCUAUCAGCCAGCGUGGAUGACAGUCUAGGACCUCGGCCUGAGAGAUACAUAGAGGCAAGUGGUCGCCACUGAGGAGGCAAAGAACAUUGUGCCCAGCAUGGUGAAUCACCACAAAGAGGCUCCUCCC